GACGAACGCUGGCGGCGUGCUUAAUACAUGCAAGUCGAACGGAAAGGCCCAGCUUGUUGGGUGCUCGAGUGGCGAACGGGCGAGUAACAAGUGGGUGAUCAGCCUCUCACUUCGGGAUAAGCUUGGGAAAGUGGGUCUAAUACAGGAUAGGAAAAUUGUUUAGUGUCGGUUGUGGAAAGUUUUUUCGGUUAGGGAUGAGCCCGAGGCCUAUCAGCUUGUUGGUGGAGUAAUGGGUUACCAAGGCGUCGACGGGUAGCCGACCUGGGAGGGUGGACGGCGACAAUGCUACUAAGGUACGGCCCAGACGCCUACGUGAGGCAGCAGUCGAGAGUAUUGCGCAAUAAGCGCGAGCCUGAUACAACGGCGCCGCGUGCGUGAUAACGUCCUUCUGGUUAUGAACCUCUGUCGACGUAAACGAAGCUGUGUUGACGGUACCUAUAUAGAAAGCACCGGCUAACUACGUG
This 464-nucleotide ribosomal RNA is filed under the name uncultured bacterium. RNAcentral describes it as "partial 16S ribosomal RNA". It matches the Rfam family "Bacterial small subunit ribosomal RNA", at positions 28 to 507 of the family's 1533-position model. The record is from RNAcentral.